Molecule: ribosomal RNA, 440 nt
Filed under: uncultured bacterium
Lineage: Bacteria
Description: partial 16S ribosomal RNA
Rfam family: Bacterial small subunit ribosomal RNA
Source: RNAcentral
CCUACGGGAGGCAGCAGUAGGGAAUAUUGCUCAAUGGGGGAAACCCUGAAGCAGCAACGCCGCGUGGAGGAUGAAGGUUUUCGGAUUGUAAACUCCUUUUGUUAGAGAAGAUAAUGACGGUAUCUAACGAAUAAGCACCGGCUAACUCCGUGACAGCAGCCGCGGUAAUACGGAGGGUGCAAGGGUUACUCGGAAUCACUGGGCGUAAAGGGCGCGUAGGCGGGAUAGCAAGUCAGAUGUGAAAUCCUAUGGCUUAACCAUAGAACUGCAUUUGAAACUGUUAUUCUAGAGUAUGGGAGAGGUAGGUGGAAUUCUUGGUGUAGGGGUAAAAUCCGUAGAGAUCAAGAGGAAUACUCAUUGCGAAGGCGACCUGCUAGAACAUAACUGACGCUGAUGCGCGAAAGCGUGGGGAGCAAACAGGAUUAGAUACCCUAGUAGUC